This 404-nucleotide unclassified non-coding RNA is filed under the name soil metagenome. RNAcentral describes it as "partial contains 5.8S ribosomal RNA, internal transcribed spacer 2, and large subunit ribosomal RNA". The stretch from base 1 to 121 matches the Rfam family "5.8S ribosomal RNA", at positions 35 to 154 of the family's 154-position model. The record is from RNAcentral.
GAUGAAGAACGCAGCGAAAUGCGAUAAGUAAUGUGAAUUGCAGAAUUCAGUGAAUCAUCGAAUCUUUGAACGCACCUUGCGCCCUUUGGCUAUUCCGAAGGGCAUGCCUGUUUGAGUAUCGUGAACACCUCAACUCUCAUGGUUUGCCAUGAUGAGCUUGGACUUUGGGGGUCUUGCCGGCCUAUGGGUCGGCUCCUCUCAAAUUAAUCAGCUUGCCAGUGUUUGGUGGCAUCACAGGUGUGAUAACUAUCUACGCUUGUGGUUUUCCAUCAGGUAACCUUCAGUGAUGGAGGUUCGCUGGGGCUCAUAAAUGUCUCUCCUCAGUGAGGACAGCUUUUUUGAACGUUUGAUCUCAAAUCAGGUAGGACUACCCGCUGAACUUAAGCAUAUCAAUAAGCGGAGGA